UCCUCCCUAGUGAUAAUGCCAAGCAUGUAUGU
RNAcentral lists this non-coding RNA (32 nucleotides) under Mus musculus (house mouse). Lineage: Eukaryota; Metazoa; Chordata; Mammalia; Rodentia; Muridae. The record is from RNAcentral.